This is a long non-coding RNA of Mirounga angustirostris (Northern elephant seal), 6212 nucleotides long. RefSeq lists it as uncharacterized. The record is from RefSeq and is a predicted model, not a curated record. The transcript has 2 exons. Lineage: Eukaryota; Metazoa; Chordata; Mammalia; Carnivora; Phocidae.
GGAGGUGGGCACAGCUGAGCUGGGCUGGGCAUGUUUGCCAGGUUGUAUGUGGAGCUUCCGGUCCCGUGGGAGACACAGACUAAUCCCAGACACAGAAAACUACCGCAGAGCGAAGUGUUUGGAAGGAAAGGUUUGAAGAGGGCAAAGGAUGACGUUGUUCACCAUGCUUCGGAAUGCUUGAAGGAGUUCACUUUUUUGGAGCAUGUAAAAGGAAGUACCUUUUCUAUCUAGUAUAUUUUAAACUUGUAGGACUUAUUAUUCUACAGGGUUACAAUAACCGAGAUCUAUUUUGACACAUUCAGGGAAGAUUACCGGAGAACGGGUUAUUAAUGGGGCCACCCGGUUACUGGAAACCACGAUCACAGAUGCAGCUGCAGCGUUCUCCUCUGCCCGUCUGCCCACACCCUGGGCUGGCCGCCACUCUGGCUGUGUCACCCUCUAGAGGGACACAGACUGGAGCGGGACUCGGGUGGCUGGGGCGCUUGAACCUCUGCCACAUGGAGAACAUUGGCAGAAGCCAGAGGGGUGUAGUCUCUAACUUGUAAAGGGUCAUUCGAUGGGGGCCCAGAGUUUGAAGAAAUGAGGGGAAGUGGUAGGAAGAUGGAUUUGUGGAUUAAUGGUCUGGUCCAGCGUGUGAAACAUGGAAGAGAGGAGCCCCUCAUCCCUGGAGUGACUGCUGGAUGAUAGGCCUAGGAGAGGGCCUUCGGGAUCGACCUGCAAUCGCUGAGAUCCUUCAAAGUCCUCAGGUCUUGGUAAUUCGACCAUUAUUUUGUUGGUCCCUAGCAGGAAACAGUGUCCUGGGGAAAUGGGAUGUGAAAAGAGCGAGUUUGUUGGAAGGGAAGGAGGGUAGGGAAAGUUCCAGGCUGAAAGGGGACCCCGGAGUGGCAGGGAAGGGACCGCUGGUUGAGGGGCAUGGAUGCUGAGAACCAGAGGCACAAGAAGGGACACGUGUCUCCUUAAGGCUUCUGGGGUGAUAUCUUUACUAUGGGAAUAACGGGAAGAAUCGAAACGACGGCAGAAGAGAAACAUAUGCUUCUGGAGAGCACAGGUGCUGGGACCCAUGCUAAGUGCUUUAUGUUUGUCACCACAUUUAAUUGGCCCCAACAGAAGGGAGCAGAUAUGCUUUUAACAGUUGAGGAAACUGAGGUUUAGGCUCAUGCAGCUGGUUCGGGGGCUCAGCCUGGCUUUGAGGCAGGGAAUCCAACCCGGAGCCGUCGUCAUCAGCCCAGCUCCAUUCAGAGUGGAGGAAGAUAAAUUGGGGAAAGGGCCAUGGGAGCUGCAAAAUGCUGUCUGUGAGUCACGCUAUGAGCAUCUUGCUUCGUGCGUCCCUGAGGAGGUGGGUUGUGGCUCCCUGUGCCGAGCCCUGUGAGUUCUGCUGGGGCCGAGAGGAAACCAAAGGCAAGGUUAUUCUGUGGGGUAGAGGGAAAGCACCAGGUCGACUUCUCUGCAUAAACUGACUGACUGCUGAGCUAAUAAAAAUACCAGAAGGAGCCCUGCAUUUGGAUUCUGUAGGCCAGGAUGUACUCUUGUAGGGCCACAAGAGGGGAAAUGGGAGGGGUGCCUCAGUGGCUCAGUUGGUUAAGCAUCUGCCUUGGGCUCAGGGCAUGAUCCUGGGGUUCUGGGAUCGAGCCCCACGUCAGGCUCCCUGCUCAGCGUGGACUCUGCUUCUCCCUCUCCCUCUGGCCCUCCCCACUCAUGUUCUCUCUCUCUCUCUAACAAAUAAAUAAAAUAUUAAAAAAAAAGAAAUGGGAAAGGUGCUCUGGGGACCAUGCAUGACUUUGGAAUUUGUCAUCACAUCUAGCAAAAAAGUAUGUUGUGGAGUGGAUGGCCAUAGAGAGGAUCUAGAGGAUAGUAAACUGAAUGAUCAUCAGAUUCCAGAAAGUUCUGAAUGUAGUUUGAAAAUCUAGACUUAGUGUGUGAGAAAAGUAUACAAUACACAUGGAUAUCUCUUGGGUUGAUGUCUUUUUCCUGCCAGUGUACUUGUUUGCGGGCGCCUCAGCUCAGCAGACCUCCAUGUCCUGAUGGCAGAGCAUAGGAGUUAGAGAAAGAAGACUUGAGCUCUUCAAGUCUGCAUUUGCUGUGUGACCCUGAGAAAAACACUUAGCCUCUCUGAACCGAUGUUUUCUCAACUCCAAAAGGAUUAUUUACAAGAGAUACUCUGUCAACUUCAUAGGUCAGGGAGAACAAAUGGUAACAAACAACAAUUAUUGUUUGUAUGUUUUUCUUACACCUCUGACAGUGCCUGUCCCAGGGGGGAGCACAUGGAAUAUGCAUUGUAAAGAUCUCCCGAGGCAACAAAAUAGUGAGACAAGGUUGGGGCCAGAAGGGAAGGAAGAUGCUAAAGAUCAAAUGUUGACUUCUUCCAUGUGGUUCAAAUACUCCGACAGCAAAGCACUGCUCCUCCUCAUCUUCUAGACGAUUGUCCCCGUCCCUUCAACCGCUCCUCGUGCAACACGGUCUGCGCACACUUCUCCAUUCUUAUCAUUCACUCUCUCUCUCAUCAGUGUUACUCCUAAAAGGCAGCUCCAUAAAUGGAACACAAUAUUUCAGGUAAGAUCCCACAAAUCGUAAUUGGAUCACUUCCCUGCCUGCCAAUCACAAGCCCAGGUGUAUGCGGACUUCCAGAGAAGACACGUAGGACAGGCAAAUAUGGAGGUUCGGGUCAACAAAAGCUACAAGGUCUUUUUCCACAAAUCAUCACCAUAUGCAAUUGAGUUUUUGACACUUCAGACUCCAUUCAUUAGAAAAGCUUUAUAUUUACGUUACAUUUAUUGCUGUAAAAAGUUGUCCUGCCAUGUGUUCUGAGCAGGACAAUCUUUUAACUGCCCUAAAACAUUCAGGUGAUUGGAGAAGCCGGGCACAGUGGGACAGCCUGGGUGGCUGUUGGCCAGAUGUUGGAGGGACACAUGGCUUUGUUGGACCCCUCCCUCCUGUAGGUCUGCUAGUCACCCCAUGUGUUCUGGAGUCUAAGGACAGAACUGUGAUACCAGGGGCCCAACUGUUUGCUGUGGGAGCCCUCCCUGGAGGAGAUGGUGCUGAGAAGCAGAAGGACACCCCUGGUGAGUAAGAGUGAGCUGUAGGCUAAGCUCAGGGCCAUGUGAGUUUCCAGAGUGGGGACGAUGGCCUGGGCAGCACCUAAGGGCAGGUCAAGGAGCAGACAUUCAGAGCAGAGUACACCCCCGCACUCAGUGGAGAGAUGGCAGAGCAUCUGAGAUUCUUCCUUGUUGCCAAGACUUCUGGAAGAAGCACCUGGAGAGGAAAAUUCUGAGAAAAAGGACUUUCUGCUCAUCCAGCUUCAAGGGCUGAGAGCACCAGAGUGCUUGUACUCAGUGUAGGUGGGCCACGGGGUGUACUCACACAUUCAAAUCUCAUCUCCUGUAACAUUGGUGAUUCCUUCUUGUUCCAUCUGAGAUUUGGUAAGUGUGCCUUCUAAGCCUUCGUUCGGUUUGUCAAUGUUUAUCCAGGAGCAAACACAGAGCCUGUGGCCCUCCACUAGAGUGCUACUUUAGGUAGCUACAGAAUUGGUCAGUCAUCUCGGUUUCUGGCUCUUUGGCCAGCUGUGCGUGAACCUAGUAAAUAUUCAGCCAGGCAGCAACUGAUCAAUAAGGUGGCCGGGUAAGUUUGUCAAAUGAUUUGCCAAAAUAGGAAUGGAAUUUACCUCAUAUGCCUAUCCUGAAGUCCGCUCAAAACAGGGAUGAGAAUCGCUAUCCUGAUUUAUUCUUCGUAACUCUGGGUGGACUCUUCAUGACAACUGCAUUCUUUUCUAAAUGUUCACCCACUGUCAAUUUAAUAAUCUCUCAGUACAAAAGUGCGUGUAAAUGGGUCACUUUUAGUGGCCUCUGGGCCAUCACUCUCAAAAAAUCUUAGACUACCUUCGUGUUUGGAGAACUCUACUAUCUCAUCCACAUUUCUGCGACUGCCUUCGCUGGCUAUAUCCUUCCAUUAUUUUAAUAGACUUAGUGGUACAAGUGAACUCUAUUUUAAUAAAAUCCCAUAUACCAAAAUUUCUCUUUGAUUUAUUUCAGAGGAAUAAGAACGUGGUAAAAAAAGAAAAAUGCUGUUCGAAAGGAAGUCUUUUUAGAUAUCAAGCUUACAGCUCCCUUAAUGUAACAAAAAUGGUGUGCAACAUAAAAUUAGAUUUAUACUCAACUCUUCAGAAGCACGCCCUCUGCAUAAAGAGGGGUCCACCCGUACUCAAUCCAGUCAUAUGCUGAACAGUGCAAAGGGGGGCUGGACCCACUGCCCACCCUUGGUUCCUCUACAAGCUUGUAACUAGAAUGCUUUGUGGCUGAUGGGCAUGAUUGUAAUUUUCUACCAUGCUCUGCUUGCUGUCUGUUGCACUGAAUGGAUGAUGACAUUUUUAUUUGGGUUAAUGUGAUAUGAGAUGGGCCAUGUAAUAUGAAAAAUGUUUUAAGAAGCAAUGCAGAGAAAAUAUUGUAAGACAGUGGAGCAUGAUCUGUAUGUUGGCCAAUAGGCGUCAUUUCAGGCUUUCUUCCUUGCAUUAUACACAAGAAGUUAUGGAAUAUUCACUCUCACAUGAGUUGCAUACAAACAAAAGCUCUCUUUGAUGGGCUUGCAAUCAUCUUUAUACAAUCCACAAGCCCAGCAGUUACUCCCCUGGAUUUGCAGACAAGCAGACAUGGGUGGCUUGUGCAAACACACACGCACAGAUGAGCACACAAUGCUAUCGUCAGAUCUUAAUAAAAGAUUCUCAUUUGAUUGUUACAUUUCAUCCUUGUAGGAUAAUGAGAAAUUUUUAUUUUUGUUUUUUUCCCACAGUUUUCAUAAUGCAUGGACAUGAUACUUAUCAUCAGAUAAAAUAUUAAUGUUAUUAGGUUUUAAAAGAAUGAUUUCUUCUUGGGGAUGACAGUCUAACAGCCACACCCGAGGAGAAAGGGUUCCCAUUUUGCUUCUCUCACCUCUCACAUGGGUUGGCUUUAUUCUAGAUGAUGCUGAGCAUGCGGCUGGUCAGCCAUUUGGAAACUAGCAGUCACCAUCAAGGGUAAAGUACCACCCUCAGCCUAGGGAAGAAAUUCUUCAAGGAAGGAAGGAAGUCCUUGCUCUGGACUGCUCUCUACCUGGAGUUGACUGUAUUAUUAAAUCACCCAGUUAAAAAAAAAAAAAAGGAUUUUUUUACAGACUGUGCCUGAGGAAUUCUGAGUCAAGGUAUAGACAGAGGGCAAUAGAAUUAAUUUAACAAGGUGGAGAGAACUUUCUGAGUGAUCAAAAGAGACAACUCAUGGGGUAAUGACAAAGAAGGGCUAAGAAAUUCUCCCGCUCAUAGGCUUUCUUCUCUCCUUCUAGGUGAUUCCCAGAAUUUCUUCAGUGGUGUUUCCUUCUCUGAGGCUAAGAUGCUGACCUUGUUAAGUAAACUUGACCCUGGGAGAGCAAAUUCUCAAAGCCACUGCCAGUUGUUAGAUUUUUUCUGCUUGGCACUUCUUAGUUGUGUGGCCUUGGGCAAAUUGCUCAACUUCAGUGAGUCUGUUUCUUCAUCUGCAAAAUGGGAAUAAUAAGACCUUCUUUGAAGAGUUGUGACAGCAAUUAGAAAUAUGUAAAAGGCUUGGCACUAGAAGGCAGGCCAGCUAUCCUCUGGAGGACCCUCAUGCUCCCAGACUGCUUUGGAUGCCUGGCACCAUUUUCUUUCCUCUUAUUCCCAUUGGAUCCACCUGUUCUUGUCUCACCAUGUUAUCAUUAGUUCCUUGUCUCUCUCCCUUCAUCUCUACCUCCCCAUCGACUACUCUAAUUCAGGCUUUGCCACCUGUCACCUGGAAUGUGGCUGUCAUCCUGCUUCUUGAGAACAAAGAAGCGUAAGCAUCUUUGUAGUCUCAGUACUUUGUAUUGUGCCAGACAUAUAGGUGGACUAAAAAACAAUUUUCAAAGAGCUUCCUAGCCCUCUUUCUUUUCACUUUCAAUCCAUUCUGUACUCAGUCAUCAGAUUGGUCUAAUGAAAAUACUUGUGGGGACAUAGAUUGAAGGACAUAGAACAAGCUUGUUAUCCUAUUUUCCAAAGCCCACUAACAACUGAAUCCUGCCAAGAACCAUGUGAGUAAGCUUAGCAGAUUUUCCCCCAGUCAAGCCUUCAGAUGAGAUCAUAGCCCAGGCCGACAGUUUGAUGACUACAUGCAGAGACCCUGAAACAGAGGUGCCCGGCAAAGCUGUGCCAGAUUCCUGACCCACAGACACCAUGAGCUAAUAAAGUUUUGUUGUUUUAA